This 215-nucleotide long non-coding RNA is filed under the name Elaeis guineensis (African oil palm). Its description in RNAcentral is "long non-coding RNA (EGUI_LNC079365)". The record is from RNAcentral. Lineage: Eukaryota; Viridiplantae; Streptophyta; Magnoliopsida; Arecales; Arecaceae.
CUCCAAAAAAAAUUGGGGUAGUUCCUUCAACCUAGAUUAUAUGUAUUUAAGAAUAGGUCUUUGACAUUGUUGGAGUAACUUUCGGCAGCUUGAACUUAUUCUUGGAUAAAAGAUAGAAACUGUGUAGUCGUAGGAUAUUCACUCAUAUGAUAGGCUAGACUAGCAUAGAUAGAACAGAUCUCCUGAUAAUUGAAAGGUGGUGUGUAUUGCGCAGA